Molecule: long non-coding RNA, 431 nt
Organism: Nycticebus coucang (slow loris)
Lineage: Eukaryota; Metazoa; Chordata; Mammalia; Primates; Lorisidae
Exons: 2
Source: RefSeq, a predicted model, not a curated record
UAGGCAACUCCCUGGUCCGCUUCUCCACACCUCACUUCCGCAACUCCGUGGAGGGAAAUUUACUUUUUACUUAUAUAGUACUUUUUUCCAGGCACUGUUUUAAGCGCUUUGCAAUUAUUAACUUGAUUCGUCUUUGAAACAACCCUAACUGUGCCAACAAGUCAAAUGAGAAGCAGAUGAGUAAUAAGCCGUGGAGAGCAUGAAGAUUCCUCUGAGAAAGAGCUGCCUCCAGAAGGAAGGCAUCACACAGAAAGGCCGGAGUGUGGGGGAAGAAGCAUGCAUCCAGACAACCAAGCGUGCUGGAAAACCUGACUGGUGGGGAUGAUGUCUGCUAAAUGCUCCUGCUCAGAACGGGGUGAAGAUUCAUACAUUCCUCUUGGGAAAAAUGCACAGUGUCUUAACUCAGGCUGCCAUAAAAAGUUACCAUAGCA